GAUGAACGCUGACAGAAUGCUUAACACAUGCAAAUCAACUUGAACUUCGGUUUGGGUGGCGGACGGGUGAGUAACGCGUAAAGAACUUGCCUCACAGAUAGGGACAACAUUUGGAAACGAAUGCUAAUACCUGAUAUUAUGAUUAUAUGGCAUCGUAUAAUUAUGAAAGCUAUAUGCGCUGUGAGAGAGCUUUGCGUCCCAUUAGCUAGUUGGAGAGGUAACGGCUCACCAAGGCGAUGAUGGGUAGCCGGCCUGAGAGGGUGAUCGGCCACAAGGGGACUGAGACACGGCCCUUACUCCUACGGGAGGCAGCAGUGGGGAAUAUUGGACAAUGGACCAAGAGUCUGAUCCAGCAAUUCUGUGUGCACGAUGAAGUUUUUCGGAAUGUAAAGUGCUUUCAGUUGGGAAGAAAAAAAUGACGGUACCAACAGAAGAAGUGACGGCUAAAUACGUG
RNAcentral lists this ribosomal RNA (454 nucleotides) under uncultured bacterium. Its description in RNAcentral is "partial 16S ribosomal RNA". It matches the Rfam family "Bacterial small subunit ribosomal RNA", at positions 28 to 507 of the family's 1533-position model. The record is from RNAcentral.